This 934-nucleotide ribosomal RNA is filed under the name uncultured bacterium. Its description in RNAcentral is "bacterial SSU rRNA". It matches the Rfam family "Bacterial small subunit ribosomal RNA", at positions 8 to 916 of the family's 1533-position model. The record is from RNAcentral.
AGAGUUUGAUCCUGGCUCAGGAUGAACGCUGGCGGCGUGCCUAACACAUGCAAGUCGAACGUGAAAGUAUCUCUUAUGCCAUCGUGCGUGAGAGGUGCUGGAAAGUGGCGAACGGGUGAGUAACACGUAGGUGACCUGCCUCGAAGUGGGGGAUAACCAUUGGAAACGGUGGCUAAUACCGCAUGACUCGUGGUCUAUGGGAAUAGACGACGGGAAAGCUCCGGCGCUUCGAGAGGGGCCUGCGUCCGAUUAGCUAGUUGGUGAGGUAAAGGCUCACCAAGGCGAUGAUCGGUAGCUGGUCUGAGAGGAUGAUCAGCCACACUGGAACUGAAACACGGUCCAGACUCCUACGGGAGGCAGCAGUGGGGAAUCUUGCGCAAUGGACGAAAGUCUGACGCAGCCACGCCGCGUGAGUGAAGAAGGCCUUCGGGUUGUAAAGCUCUGUCGAGCGGGACGAAAAACGGUCAGGUGAAUAGCCUGAUCGUCUGACGGUACCGCUAAAGGAAGCACCGGCUAACUCCGUGCCAGCAGCCGCGGUAAUACGGAGGGUGCAAGCGUUGCUCGGAAUUAUUGGGCGUAAAGCGCGCGCAGGCGGUUCUUUAAGUCUGAUGUGAAAGCCCACGGCUCAACCGUGGAGGGUCAUUGGAAACUGGAGAACUUGAGUACAGAAGAGGAAAGCGGAAUUCCACGUGUAGCGGUGAAAUGCGUAGAGAUGUGGAGGAACACCAGUGGCGAAGGCGGCUUUCUGGUCUGUAACUGACGCUGAGGCGCGAAAGCGUGGGGAGCAAACAGGAUUAGAUACCCUGGUAGUCCACGCCGUAAACGAUGAGUGCUAAGUGUUAGGGGGUUUCCGCCCCUUAGUGCUGCAGCUAACGCAUUAAGCACUCCGCCUGGGGAGUACGGCCGCAAGGCUGAAACUUAAAGGAAUUGACGG